CUGACUCUGAAGCGAGCCAGAGAUCCACCUCAUCCUUCCAACAGAUUCACAGAAGAACACAACACUUCACUUCAACAAAGCUUCCUCAAAGUGCUCCAAUGGAAUGCAAGCUGGGAAGAUGAAAGCAAGUGGACAGGUGACGAAGUGAAGGCUACUGAGCGGCAUUUGUAUCCUUAACAAGCUGCAGAGUACCAGGUAAAAAGGACUGUGACUCCUGUCUCAAGGCAGAGCCAGUAGCUCUGAAAGACAGGGACUGGGUUGCCAU
Molecule: long non-coding RNA, 265 nt
Organism: Trematomus bernacchii (emerald rockcod)
Lineage: Eukaryota; Metazoa; Chordata; Actinopteri; Perciformes; Nototheniidae
Exons: 3
Source: RefSeq, a predicted model, not a curated record